This 427-nucleotide ribosomal RNA is filed under the name uncultured bacterium. Its description in RNAcentral is "bacterial SSU rRNA". It matches the Rfam family "Bacterial small subunit ribosomal RNA", at positions 355 to 774 of the family's 1533-position model. The record is from RNAcentral.
UGGGGAAUCUUCCGCAAUGGGCGCAAGCCUGACGGAGCAACGCCGCGUGAGUGAAGAAGGGUUUCGACUCGUAAAGCUCUGUUGUCGGGGACGAAUGUGGAGAUGGUGAAUAACCAUUUUCAAUGACGGUACCUGACGAGGAAGCCACGGCUAACUACGUGCCAGCAGCCGCGGUAAUACGUAGGUGGCGAGCGUUGUCCGGAAUUAUUGGGCGUAAAGGGAGCGCAGGCGGGAAGGUAAGUCUAUCUUAAAAGUGCGGGGCUCAACCCCGUGAGGGGAUGGAAACUAUCUUUCUUGAGUGCAGGAGAGGAAAGCGGAAUUCCUAGUGUAGCGGUGAAAUGCGUAGAUAUUAGGAGGAACACCAGUGGCGAAGGCGGCUUUCUGGACUGUAACUGACGCUGAGGCUCGAAAGCGUGGGGAGCGAACA